RNAcentral lists this ribosomal RNA (766 nucleotides) under uncultured bacterium. RNAcentral describes it as "bacterial SSU rRNA". It matches the Rfam family "Bacterial small subunit ribosomal RNA", at positions 57 to 853 of the family's 1533-position model. The record is from RNAcentral.
GCAGUCGAGCGAUUUACUUCGGUAAAGAGCGGCGGACGGGUGAGUAACCUUUGGGUAACCUGCCCUAUACACACGGAUAACAUACCGAACGGUAUGCUAAUACGAGAUAAUAUAAGAAAUUCGCAUGGAUUUCUUAUCAAAGCUUUUGCGGUAUAGGAUGGACCCGCGUCUGAUUAGCUAGUUGGUAAGGUAACGGCUUACCAAGGCGACGAUCAGUAGCCGACCUGAGAGGGUGAUCGGCCACAUUGGAACUGAGACGCGGUCCAAACUCCUACGGGAGGCAGCAGUGGGGAAUAUUGCACAAUGGGCGAAAGCCUGAUGCAGCAACGCCGCGUGAGCGAUGAAGGCCUUCGGGUCGUAAAGCUCUGUCCUCAAGGAAGAUAAUGACGGUACUUGAGGAGGAAGCCCCGGCUAACUACGUGCCAGCAGCCGCGGUAAUACGUAGGGGGCUAGCGUUAUCCGGAAUUACUGGGCGUAAAGGGUGCGUAGGUGGUUUCUUAAGUCAGAGGUGAAAGGCUACGGCUCAACCGUAGUAAGCCUUUGAAACUGAGAAACUUGAGUGCAGGAGAGGAGAGUAGAAUUCCUAGUGUAGCGGUGAAAUGCGUAGAUAUUAGGAGGAAUACCAGUUGCGAAGGCGGCUCUCUGGACUGUAACUGACACUGAGGCACGAAAGCGUGGGGAGCAAACAGGAUUAGAUACCCUGGUAGUCCACGCCGUAAACGAUGAGUACUAGCUGUCGGAGGUUACCCCCUUCGGUGGCGCAGCU